RNAcentral lists this ribosomal RNA (477 nucleotides) under uncultured bacterium. RNAcentral describes it as "bacterial SSU rRNA". It matches the Rfam family "Bacterial small subunit ribosomal RNA", at positions 25 to 518 of the family's 1533-position model. The record is from RNAcentral.
CAGGACGAACGCUGGCGGCGUGCCUAACACAUGCAAGUCGAGCGAGGAGAGUCCUUCGGGAUGAUCCUAGCGGCGGACGGGUGAGUAACACGUGGGCAACCUGCCUCAUAGAGAGGAAUAGCCUUCCGAAAGGGAGAUUAAUACCUCAUAACAUUGCAGUUUCGCAUGGAACAGCAAUUAAAGGAGUAAUCCGCUAUGAGAUGGGCCCGCGGCGCAUUAGCUAGUUGGUGAGGUAACGGCUCACCAAGGCGACGAUGCGUAGCCGACCUGAGAGGGUGAUCGGCCACAUUGGGACUGAGACACGGCCCAGACUCCUACGGGAGGCAGCAGUGGGGAAUAUUGCACAAUGGGGGAAACCCUGAUGCCAGCAACGCCGCGUGAGUGAUGACGGCCUUCGGGUUGUAAAGCUCUGUCUUCAGGGACGAUAAUGACGGUACCUGAGGAGGAAGCCACGGCUAACUACGUGCCAGCCGCCGC